UACGUAGGGUGCAAGCGUUAUCCGGAAUUAUUGGGCGUAAAGAGCUCGUAGGCGGUUUGUCGCGUCUGCUGUGAAAACCGGAGGCUCAACCUCCGGCCUGCAGUGGGUACGGGCAAACUAGAGUGCGGUAGGGGAGAUUGGAAUUCCUGGUGUAGCGGUGGAAUGCGCAGAUAUCAGGAGGAGCACCGAUGGCGAAGGCAGAUCUCUGGGCCGUAACUGACGCUGAGGAGCGAAAGCGUGGGGAGCGAACAGG
Molecule: ribosomal RNA, 253 nt
Filed under: uncultured bacterium
Lineage: Bacteria
Description: partial 16S ribosomal RNA
Rfam family: Bacterial small subunit ribosomal RNA
Source: RNAcentral